Long non-coding RNA from Brassica napus (rape), 7330 nucleotides. RefSeq lists it as uncharacterized. The record is from RefSeq and is a predicted model, not a curated record. NCBI's taxonomy places the organism in Eukaryota, Viridiplantae, Streptophyta, Magnoliopsida, Brassicales, Brassicaceae. The transcript is spliced from 8 exons.
ACUUUAUUUGAUUGGCUGUAUAAUCUCUUGGUACUUUUUUCUAUAUGAUAUACUCUUACCAAUGUUCAAGAAUAAAUAAUUUUCAUGAUCUAUUUGAGUACUAUUAGUGUAUUCUCUGAUGUGUUUAUGUUUUGUGCAGGAUAUAUUGUUAAUAUUCAUGUUCUUUACUAGAUACAUGACAUUAGCAUCAGUGUAAAAUCCAUAUUUUCAUAAUAUUAUCGUAAAUUAAUUAUUAUGUUAAACAGUAAUACAUUGUUAAUAUUCAUGUUUUUUACGAUUCAUAAAUGAUACAUGACAUUUUUAUGGACUGAAAAAUAUAAAGGAUUUAUACUUAUGUUCUUCUAUAAAACUUUGGUACGCCUUAUUUAUUUUGAUUUUGAUUUUGUUUUUGUAUUUUAUGAGAUAUGUGACAUUUAUUUUCAUCGUGGACAAUAUACACGGUUAUCACAAUACUAAAAGGCCAAUAGGAAGUGUUUUGAAGCUAUCCACGUAAGCAAAUUAAAUCAGCCUAUCACCAUCCACCAAACUUCCACGUCAACUAAUUAUUCACUCUUCACAGAUUAAAACAGGGUCAUAUGUAUGGGCUUAUACUAAUACGAUCAGGCCCACUUAUUACCAACCUAAAUGGCAUUGUAAAUCUAAACCCAACUAUCUGCGCUGUCUUUUCCACUUCGUCGUCUUUGUUUCAGAUAUAUACAAAUAAUCGUUUCUUUUCUGUAUUUAUCACAACCCCACCCUCAAACAUUUAAAGCUCAUCUUUACUCUUUUCUUUAGCUCAUAUGGUUUUGUUCCACCUUCCUUUUUUUUUCUCCACCUAUAUAAAUCACUUCUUGAAAUCAGUCAUCCAAACCAAAUCUUCCUAGCCUAUUCCAUAAAAUUGUUAAACAUAUCCAAACGGUUUCAAAAUCUGUGAAUCUAUUGCAACGUUCCUGGUAGUCGUUUUCUUCAACCAUGGUGAUGUUUUUAAUAUAAUCUGCAGGGAGGAUGAGAUCGACUUGAGGAUGUUAUUAUUUUGGAAUUCAAACCCGAAAUAUUGAUUUCACAAUCAUAAGCUCUCAGUUCUUUGGGCUCGCUUCGUCUUCCUAAAUAUUCAAUCUCGGCCUGAAGGGCGACAAGUUACGACAUGGGAUUUCGUUCCGUCGGGAUCGUUACUUGGCGUGGAGGAUGAGAUCGUCACUGGGAGAUUAUUGUUUCGAGUUCAGACGGGAGAGAUUGACUUUGCUCUUCGUUUACGUGAUUAUGGGCCAAUACACACAGAAUACGAUACAAAUACAAAUACAAACACAAAGCUCAAGCAAAAGCUCAGCAUUAGAGUUUCAGCCACGGAGAUUCAACAGCAACUAAAGUUGUGCUGUUACUUGGCUUUCAAUUUUUAGAAGCACAGAAGGAAGUAAUAAAAGGAAACAUGUAUGCACUUUGUAAAUGCCCAAGCUCUUUGUCGACGAGGUUGAACUUGAGAUGAUUCAGCUGAAUAAAAAAAAGAGUUGGAUGGCCAAACUGAGUGUAACAGAGAAAAUAGAAGACCAGAAGUUGAGAGAUACCAGGAUUGUGAUCUUACUAAUGAGACGCGGCCAAUUUGGCUCUUGAACUCUAAGGAGGUGACAAAAGAAGAGGACAAUGAGUUUUACAUAAAAGCUUUCAACGAGUAUUUAGACCCACUAGCAUCAACCCACUUCACAACAGAACGUUGAAGGAAAAACAUCUGUUGGAAUAGCAUAUAUCCAUGAAACAACCCAAGCAGGUUAUGAUUUGUACCUGUUAAAAAUUGGUGGCCUUAGUUGUUCAAGUUGUUCAUGACUGCUAACUUUUUAUGUGCAUCUGCGUGCAAGUUGUUUAUGACUGUUGUAAUUGCCGUUUUUAAGGUGGGUUGGACACCAAUGCAUAUCACUUUUGUCAUGGAAUAUGCUAUUGGAGGUGAACUAUUUGAGCAUAUAUGAAGCCAUGGAAGAUUCAGGGAGGGUGAGGCAAGGUAUCUUUUCCAGCAGAAUAUAUCAAGAGUCAACCAUUGAUGUGAUUAAAUAAGAAGUGACUUCGAAGUUCUUUUUAACUCUCGCAGAGAUACUGAAGCUUUAUAUAUCAUUCGUGUAGUCCCAUUAUUUUUCCUUAUUCUUAUAGCCAAUACCCCAGAGUUAGAGAUAUCACUUUGUUUAUAGUUGGUGGUGGACAUAUAUGUCAUCGGGCUUUCCGUUUUGGCGAAAAUAAUUCUGUGUCUGGGAUAAUGUAACAUAACAUUGAUUUAAAACUCAUCUAAGUUUAAAGUAAUUGUACGGAAUCCACAUUAUCUGUGUAACCUGAGCUCUUUACUAAUUAAUUGUUCCAGAUAACCACAAUAAAAACAACAAAUCAUUGACAGAGUCUUCGAUUUUAUAUUAAGCUAACACUAAUAAUUUAAAAAACAUGAAAAAGUUGGUUGCUUAUAUAAUCCAUCAAUAAAAAUAUUAAAUAAUUCUAAAUAUACUAGAAUGGGUUUUUAAUGUUUUGGUUUAUUUUGUUUACAAGCCAUAACAACACAAGUUUUUAGUAUAUCAUGCAGUAUAUCAUGCAAAAAAUGCUAAAUUUAUAUAUAUAUAUUAAUAAUUUAAGAAAGUAAAAUACUAUUAAAAUAAAAAAUAGUAAAAAAUUUACCUAUACUGUCAAAACACCAAAUAAAUCUGUGUAAAGGUCAAUUUAAGUUAGAGCAUCAUCAAUCGAUGCAUUUGCUUCUCGCUAUACCAACUCCAAAAUAAGUUGUUUAAUAAUUAACUUAAGAAUCUAAUAUAAUAAUAAUGGAAGUAUGUUUCUACUGUAACAUACAAAUAAUAUUAAAAGGUUAUAUAUUUUCAACACAAUACCAACGACAAAUAUAUCUGUAUAUGUGUAAUGUAAUGCACAUAAUAUAUCCAAAGUACUUUUAUGUAGUAUCUAAAUAUGGAAUUAGUUCAUAAUGAAAUCUAUUACAUAUUUCACAAUUUUAUAGCAAAUACUUAUUUACAAAAUAAGAAAUACCAAACAAAUUUUAAAAUUUUAAUAUCACAUCAAAACAAAUAAAUGAUAUAAUAUAACACAAAAUAAAAUAUUCUAUUUAAAACUUUGAUGUUUAAGCUAUACUCCCACUAUUUCAAAAUUAUAAAUAUUUUAGAGAAGAACUAUUUUAAAAAGACAUUUUUUUUAACAUUUUCAAUGUAUUUUUAUCAGAUAAUGAUUGUAAAAUGUAAAAUUUGAAUAAAUAAUGUGAUUAUCGAAUUUUGACUGGUUUAAAAUUAUGAAAAUAUUUGAUAAAAAUGGAUUUAUAAUCAAAUUUAAGAUUAAUUUUUAAUAUAUAUGGAAAUUUUUUAAAAUUCAUCUGUUAAAACAUUAAUUUUAUAGACAAAUAAACCGCGCGUAGCGCGGUAAAAUCUCUAGUAUAUUGUAAAACUUAUAUGAUCAUACGCCUAAACAUGUCAUACUCCGGAUAAGCCCGUUUCAAUUCAUAUGAUCAGUGGAUUAAAUAUUAUAUAAUCAUACGCUUAAACCUAUUGCUAUGUAUUUUUUGCACAUAUGUCAUAUAUAAAAAGAUGAAAACGCAAUCUUGAGUGAUUGUAAAAGACAUUCAAAAUGAAAUUCCAUAUUAAAUGGUGAUUGCAAGAAAUGCCGUCUAUAAAAAGAUUUAAACUUUUGCAAGAAGAUUUUUUUUAUUACGAAAUUAACAUAAAUGGUGAUUGCAAGAAAUUUGCAAAUUUCUACAUUUCUUUCCAGUUAAUUUUAAAUUCAAAUAGUAUUUUUAAUAUAGACUUCCUUUGUUAUGGCCUCUCGGGUGUAAUAAUUUCUAUAAUUGUCUAGAAAUCUACGAACAAUUACGGAUCUGCUCAUCAUUGGUUUGUGGAGAUAUGCAUUCAUUUUUUCCAAUUCCUGCGUGCGAAAACCCUAUCAAUUAUGACUAUAUAUAUCAUACUAUCCUCAUAUCUACUUCCUCACAACACACACGUUCAAAAUUAGCAAAGAAAAUGAGUGGCGUGAAAUUCAUCUCUGAGUUGAAGCCAAAAAAGUCUUUGCGGAAGAUUAUGGUGAAAGUCAUAAAACUUUGGAUUAGUUUUCUUUGCAUUAACAUGUAUGUCAAACGUUACUUCUGUUAAUCUAUACCAUGUAUAAUAUAUCACUUUUGCUUUUGCCUUUUCAAUAUCUAUAGAAUAAAUUUUAUAAUCUCUUUUAAUCCAUUCAUCCCGCACAUGGUGCGGAUUAUCUCCUAGUUAUUUGUAUAAAAUAACCGACUAAUCGUGUGCAGGUCUUUGGAUAUUGGGUUGAGAGUUAUUCAAUUGUGGCCCAUUUUUUCUACAACGACCAAAUAGCAAAAAUAUGCCCAAUAGCAAAAAUAUGCCCAUUAUAUUAAAUGUGAUUUCACACAUUCCACAUCACAAAUAGUCGAAUACUAUUUAAACAUAACAACGAAAUUAAAAAAGCAAAAACAAAACUGUAAAGAUAUCGAUCCAAGUUAUAGAUUAUAGCUCCGACUUAAGCUACGGCUUGAUUAAGUUGAUUCAUCUGAUCUCGAUCUUGACAAGUGAAAACACAAUCAAAAACGAAUCAACACACCAGAAAUGUUUAACCGGUGUUCACCGUACUUUCCCAACGUGGAGAAGUCACUAUACUCACCAGAGUUAGCUCAGCUAGCAAUUCACUAUAUAAUCAAUGAGAUUACAAGUGUUCGAUAUCAUGAACCUGAUAUCGUUUGUUCUUCUUUGCAGCUAUUACAAGGGCAUACACAAGGAGUUAACUGGAGAAGAUUACGUCAGCGACUACGACGGAGAUGACAGCCUUUCAACUUCUGAUUCCUCCAAUGACGGCAAAGGAUCGUAGCUUGAACCAGAGAAUGCUUGGCGACUUCGAGAGCUGCGAUCACUACCGGAUCUUUUCUAUCUCAGUCUUAGCUUUUUCUUCCAGCUUUUUCCUCGCCGAAUCUUGGACCUUCUCGCACCAUCAUCGUCAUCUUCCAGCUUUUUAGACCUUUUCGGGUUGUUUUCCGACUUAAGCAAUUUUACGAUUUUCUAAGAAAUCUCUUUCGGUACGACGUCGAUUUUACGAAAUAACUUAAAUCAAUCGUAUAGUUAAGGUAACUUUGGUGCUUACUUAACUGUUCCCGUUUUAUAUGAUUGAUUCAAACACAUACGAGAAAACUAAUAUUCACGGUUUUUAUCGUACAGUCUCAACUCUAACUCCAAUCGAGACGAAACAAGAGAUGGUUCACUCGAGACCCGAAGAAAGGAAGCUUGGCUGUCGUAAUAAGCCGGAUUGGAUAUCCCCGCUCGCCAUAUGGCGAGCUUGACUUUGGAUCAUCCCGCUCGCCAUAUGGAGGCGAGCAGGUCCAAUCUCCGGUGAGGAACCGACGAUGAAAUAGGAAGGAGAAAUUGUUGUGAGAGAAGAUGAUGAAACGGGAAAUAGAAGUGGUGGGGUGGUCGUGCGGUGGUGGGGUGGUUGUGCGACGGUGGUGGGGUGGUGCAACGGAAAUAUAUUAAUGUAAAUUUAUAUACAGAUUUUGUAUUUUAUUAAUCAAAAAUGUUUUGUUUUGUUUUCAUUUCUGUUUUUUCUUUUUUUUGGUUUUAAAAUAGCCACUGAUAUGUUGAUUAAACUGUGGCUAAUUGGCUAUACUUAACCACGAAAAAAACAGUAGCAAAACCGUAAUUAAAAUAGCCACGAAAGUGCAGUGGCAAAACCGUGGCUAUUAGCAACGAAUAGCCACGAGACUAUGGCCACGGGUUUUUUUCUAUCCAUAAGUUUGGCUAAUUUUGUAUAACCACGAUUUUAAGGUGUAUAGCCACGAUUUUAAGCUGUAUGAGACAGGUUUUUACUAGUGAUUCCAGCUUAGAUAAAAAGUGAAAUCCGUGUUCUAUCUAGGUUCCGCACUGACCUUUCACGCUCUGACCUUUCCCGCUCUUUCCUGCUUUAUGUGAAGCUCCCUUUAUCAAAAGAAAGUGCUAGUUCGACUUUUAAACGUGGGUUUAGGUAGGGACUGCUGUCAGUCGCUUCCCCAUUUUAUUUAUGUAAUUUAUUUCAGAUUGUUAUCAUGUCUUCUAGGAUUAUGUUUAAAACUACUUGUUAGAUUUAAGAAUUUCUAAUGUUCAAUGUUAAAUUGCUGAUCAUAAAACUGAUAGGGCUAUUCAUCAUAUUUAAACGAAGAUUGUUUAUUAGAACGUAAACCAACUCUCAUUGAAGAUAAGUAUUUAGUCCACAGAAAAAAAUCAUUUUUAAUAAAAUUAGACAUUUGAUAGUUUUCCACAGCAAAAAGUGGGUAACUAACUAUUGAGUUCUAGUUCUAAAAUGAACAAAUUUUGGGUUCACCCUCUAUGCUGAAUUCUCAAAUUCACCUCUAUUAUUAACACCAAUCAAAAUUGCCAUGUAGUAUUAGAAGAAAAAAGAAUAUUAAAACUAGAAAAAAGAAAGGAAAAUAGCUUCUUCUUUUUUGUUCAAAAAGGAAAAUAGCUUUAAAAAUAAAAAUAAAAGACUUCGCUUGUUAACGCCGUCGUCGAUGGCUUCUUCUUCUUCAUCGCCCACAAAGAAGAUGGAACCUGUGUUUGUCUUGCGUCUCCAAUUCUAUGCUUUCAAAUAGAAUUUCAAUUUCUUCUCCAAGCCAAAUCCAGCCAUGUACUCCAGUUCUAAUUCCAUCUCGCCAUUCCUGGCCCGAGGAAGAAGAUACUUCUUGCGUUGUGGAUAUAUUUGUUUGUUGCUUAUGCAAUUCUCUCUAUCAUGUCCUUUUCUUUCUCAAUUGUAUUUCAAGAGACAAAAGUAGGCAAGAGUUUUGAUAUUAAGACAGUUGUUGUAAUACAAAGAAAAGCAUUAAUAUUGAAUGAUUGAAAAGGAAUCUUGGAAUGUAAAAAAAAAUGUGUUUUGAGCUUCGGAUCCUGCUUCUCUUUGUUGAACCUUGGAUAAGCAAAGGGGACAAGAAGGUUUACAAACAAACCUGUUCUCCUUAGUAAUAAAGCAUCAUGGGUAGUGACUGAAGCUGGACACAUAGAUCAUGGCGAACCAAGCUUGGCUAUUAGCUUUCAAUUCUUGUCUAUAAUGAAAAUAAAGCAACAAUUAACACCAGCCGACUUAGCUCAGUGGUAGAGCACGUUACUUUUAAUCCCGUGUCCACGUUCUAUAGCUGGUCCAUGACGUUGCCACAAUGGCAAGCGUCAAUGAUUGCAUGAAGCUCUUGACUCAUUAGGCAAUAUGAAGAUCUGAAACCACGAGAUACCAAGAAACUGCUGGCAUCGUUUUUUAAAAACACCAAUCAUAAAAAGUUCGUUAUAUUUUUUUUAUAACACUGUAAUAUAUAAAUAACCAUAAUUUUGCAGAGUCGCAGCAUUGAUCAGCUAUUUAGAUCAUUUUAAAAUAA